UUUCCGUAGGUGAACCUGCGGAAGGAUCAUUACCGGGUUGGGGUCUUCUAGGCCCGACCUCCCAACCCUUUGUUUACCAAACCUAUGUUGCUGCGGCGGGCCCGUCAUUAUUGACCGCCGGAGGACGGUCUGUAUUAAGCGUCCUCUGGCCCGUGCCCGUCGAUGGCCCAACCCCUUAAAACUCUAGUCUAAAUCGUGUCGUGAUUGUCUUAGUAUAGUGAUUAAAUAAAAGAAAAACUUUCAACAACGGAUCUCUUGGUUCUG
This 264-nucleotide unclassified non-coding RNA is filed under the name plant metagenome. RNAcentral's name for it is "partial contains small subunit ribosomal RNA, internal transcribed spacer 1, and 5.8S ribosomal RNA". The record is from RNAcentral.